AGCUGGUCCAAUGGCAGUGGUGCUUACAACUAAUUCAUCAAAACCAGUUAUAGAUUUGUUUCUUCUCCAUUCCCAUUGCUUCACUUGACUAGCUUAAA
Unclassified non-coding RNA from Chlorocebus sabaeus (green monkey), 98 nucleotides. It matches the Rfam family "Y RNA". Rfam says of the family: Y RNAs are components of the Ro ribonucleoprotein particle (Ro RNP), in association with Ro60 and La proteins. The Y RNAs and Ro60 and La proteins are well conserved, but the function of the Ro RNP is not known. In humans the RNA component can be one of four small RNAs -- hY1, hY3, hY4 and hY5. Lineage: Eukaryota; Metazoa; Chordata; Mammalia; Primates; Cercopithecidae. The record is from Ensembl.